GAUGAACGCUGGCGGCGUGCCUAAUACAUGCAAGUCGAGCGGACAGACGAGGAGCUUGCUCCUCUAACGUUAGCGGCGGACGGGUGAGUAACACGUGGAUAACCUACCUAUAAGACUGGGAUAACUUCGGGAAACCGGAGCUAAUACCGGAUAAUAUAUUGAACCGCAUGGUUCAAUAGUGAAAGACGGUUUUGCUGUCACUUAUAGAUGGAUCCGCGCCGCAUUAGCUAGUUGGUAAGGUAACGGCUUACCAAGGCAACGAUGCGUAGCCGACCUGAGAGGGUGAUCGGCCACACUGGAACUGAGACACGGUCCAGACUCCUACGGGAGGCAGCAGUAGGGAAUCUUCCGCAAUGGGCGAAAGCCUGACGGAGCAACGCCGCGUGAGUGAUGAAGGUCUUCGGAUCGUAAAACUCUGUUAUUAGGGAAGAACAAAUGUGCAAGUAACUAUGCACGUCUUGACGGUACCUAAUCAGAAAGCCACGGCUAACUACGUG
This 497-nucleotide ribosomal RNA is filed under the name uncultured bacterium. RNAcentral describes it as "partial 16S ribosomal RNA". It matches the Rfam family "Bacterial small subunit ribosomal RNA", at positions 28 to 507 of the family's 1533-position model. The record is from RNAcentral.